GCUCAGUCUCUGGAUAUAGACCCGAAACCGGGUGAUCUAGCCAUGGGCAGGUUGAAGGUUGAGUAACAUCAACUGGAGGACCGAACCGACUAAUGUUGAAAAAUUAGCGGAUGACUUGUGGCUAGGGGUGAAAGGCCAAUCAAACUCGGAGAUAGCUGGUUCUCCCCGAAAGCUAUUUAGGUAGCGCCUCGGACGAAUACUACUGGGGGUAGAGCACUGUUAAGGCUAGGGGGUCAUCCCGACUUACCAACCCUUUGCAAACUCCGAAUACCAGUAAGUACUAUCCGGGAGACACACGGCGGGUGCUAACGUCCGUCGUGGAGAGGGAAACAACCCAGACCGCCAGCUAAGGUCCCAAAGUAUUGCUAAGUGGGAAACGAUGUGGGAAGGCUCAGACAGCUAGGAUGUUGGCUUAGAAGCAGCCAUCAUUUAAAGAAAGCGUAAUAGCUCACUAGUCGAGUCGGCCUGCGCGGAAGAUGUAACGGGGCUAAGCAAUACACCGAAGCUGCGGCAAUGUCUUUUAGACAUUGGGUAGGGGAGCGUUCUGUAAGCCGUUGAAGGUGAAUCGUAAGGUUUGCUGGAGGUAUCAGAAGUGCGAAUGCUGACAUGAGUAACGACAAAGGGGGUGAAAAACCUCCUCGCCGGAAGACCAAGGGUUCCUGUCCAACGUUAAUCGGGGCAGGGUGAGUCGACCCCUAAGGUGAGGCCGAAAGGCGUAAUCGAUGGGAAACGGGUUAAUAUUCCCGUACUUCUGACUAUUGCGAUGGGGGGACGGAGAAGGCUAGGUGGGCCAGGCGACGGUUGUCCUGGUUCAAGUGCGUAGGCUUGAGAGUUAGGUAAAUCCGGCUCUCUCUAAGGCUGAGACACGACGUCGAGCUACUACGGUAGUGAAGUCAUUGAUGCCAUGCUUCCAGGAAAAGCCUCUAAGCUUCAGAUAGUCAGGAAUCGUACCCCAAACCGACACAGGUGGUCGGGUAGAGAAUACCAAGGCGCUUGAGAGAACUCGGGUGAAGGAACUAGGCAAAAUGGUACCGUAACUUCGGGAGAAGGUACGCUCUUGAUGGUGAAGUCCCUCGCGGAUGGAGCUGACGAGAGUCGCAGAUACCAGGUGGCUGCAACUGUUUAUUAAAAACACAGCACUGUGCAAAAUCGCAAGAUGACGUAUACGGUGUGACGCCUGCCCGGUGCCGGAAGGUUAAUUGAUGGGGUUAGCGCAAGCGAAGCUCUUGAUCGAAGCCCCGGUAAACGGCGGCCGUAACUAUAACGGUCCUAAGGUAGCGAAAUUCCUUGUCGGGUAAGUUCCGACCUGCACGAAUGGCGUAAUGAUGGCCACGCUGUCUCCACCCGAGACUCAGUGAAAUUGAAAUCGCUGUGAAGAUGCAGUGUACCCGCGGCUAGACGGAAAGACCCCGUGAACCUUUACUACAGCUUGGCACUGAACAUUGAACCUACAUGUGUAGGAUAGGUGGGAGGCUAUGAAGACGUGACGCCAGUUGCGUUGGAGCCGUCCUUGAAAUACCACCCUUGUAUGUUUGAUGUUCUAACUUAGACCCAUUAUCUGGGUUGAGGACAGUGCCUGGUGGGUAGUUUGACUGGGGCGGUCUCCUCCCAAAGAGUAACGGAGGAGCACGAAGGUGGGCUAAUCACGGUUGGACAUCGUGAGGUUAGUGCAAUGGCAUAAGCCCGCUUAACUGCGAGAAUGACGGUUCGAGCAGGUGCGAAAGCAGGUCAUAGUGAUCCGGUGGUUCUGUAUGGAAGGGCCAUCGCUCAACGGAUAAAAGGUACUCCGGGGAUAACAGGCUGAUACCGCCCAAGAGUUCAUAUCGACGGCGGUGUUUGGCACCUCGAUGUCGGCUCAUCACAUCCUGGGGCUGAAGUCGGUCCCAAGGGUAUGGCUGUUCGCCAUUUAAAGUGGUACGCGAGCUGGGUUUAGAACGUCGUGAGACAGUUCGGUCCCUAUCUGCCGUGGGCGUUGGAAGAUUGAAGGGGGCUGCUCCUAGUACGAGAGGACCGGAGUGGACGAACCUCUGGUGUUCGGGUUGUGUCGCCAGACGCAUUGCCCGGUAGCUAAGUUCGGAAUUGAUAAGCGCUGAAAGCAUCUAAGCGCGAAGCGAGCCCUGAGAUGAGUCUUCCCUGACAGUUUAACUGUCCUAAAGGGUUGUUCGAGACUAGAACGUUGAUAGGCAGGGUGUGUAAGCGUUGUGAGGCGUUGAGCUAACCUGUACUAAUUGCCCGUGAGGCUUAACCAUACAACACCCAAGGGGUUUUGUA
Molecule: ribosomal RNA, 2271 nt
Filed under: Vibrio cholerae
Lineage: Bacteria; Pseudomonadati; Pseudomonadota; Gammaproteobacteria; Vibrionales; Vibrionaceae
Description: partial 23S ribosomal RNA
Rfam family: Bacterial large subunit ribosomal RNA
Source: RNAcentral